This 493-nucleotide ribosomal RNA is filed under the name uncultured bacterium. RNAcentral describes it as "partial 16S ribosomal RNA". It matches the Rfam family "Bacterial small subunit ribosomal RNA", at positions 28 to 507 of the family's 1533-position model. The record is from RNAcentral.
GACGAACGCUGGCGGCGUGCUUAACACGUGCAAGUCGAACGGAAAGGCCUGCUUUCCCUUGUGGAUUGCGGGUACUCGAGUGGCGAACGGGUGAGUAACACGUGAGUGAUCUGCCCCCAACUUGGGUAUAAGCCUGGGAAACUGGGUCUAAUUCCCGAUAGGACUGCAGGGUGGUGCCUGUGGUGGAAAACGAUUUUCUAGUGGUUGGGGAUGAGCUCGCGGCCUAUCAGCUUGUUGGUGGGUAAUGGCCUACCAAGGCGGCGACGGGUAGCCGGCCUGAGAGGGUGGACGGCCACAUUGGGACUGAGAUACGGCCCAGACUCCUACGGGAGGCAGCAGUGGGGAAUAUUGCACAAUGGGCGGAAGCCUGAUGCAGCGACGCCGCGUGGGGGAUGACGGCCUUCGGGUUGUAAACUCCUUUCGACCGCGAGGAAGCCACCUGGUUGGAAGGGUGGUGACGGUAGUGGUAGAAGAAGCACCGGCUAACUACGUG